RNAcentral lists this ribosomal RNA (918 nucleotides) under bacterium. RNAcentral describes it as "partial 16S ribosomal RNA". The stretch from base 1 to 807 matches the Rfam family "Bacterial small subunit ribosomal RNA", at positions 84 to 873 of the family's 1533-position model. The record is from RNAcentral.
GGAUGGGGACACAGGGGUUGUAGUCGUAGCCGUAGCGAAAACGCCUCUGAGAGGGGGACACACUACGAAAGGGACGCUAUUACCGCGUACGCGCUACGGGGAUGAGCGGGGGAGAUCUUCGGCUCUUGCGAUAAGAGAGCGCUCGAUAUCUGUUUAUAUAGGGGGGGGGGAAGGCGCCCCCCGGGGAGGAUAUCAAGCGGUGCUGAGAGAAGGAUCCCCCACACUGUGACUGUGACACGCGCCACACUCCUACGCGAGGGGGAAGUGGGGAAUAUUGUACAAUGGGGGGAAGCCUGUGACACCCAUGCCGCGUGUGAGAGAAAAGGCUUCUGGUUGUGAAGAACUUUUUUGUCGGAGAAGAAUACUGUGGGUAUUACACCCGGAUAUGGUGAGGGCCUCUGAAAAAAAAACCCCGUCUAUCUACGGCCCAGCACCCGGGGAAAUACGUGGGGGGCAAGCGUUAAUCGAAUUUUACUGGGGCGUAAAGCGCGCGCAGGGGGGUGUUAUAAGUCUGAUGUGAAAUCCCGCGACUCUCAACUCUGAAAUCUGCAUUGGAAGACUGUAAGGCUAGAGUGUGUCAGAGGGGGGGUAGAAUUCCACGUGUAGCAGUGAAAUGCGUAGAUAUGUGGAGGAAUACCGAUGGCGAAGGCAGCCCCCUGAUAUAACACUGACGUCUCAUGCACGAGAGCGUGGGGGAGCAAACAGAAUUAUAUACCCCUGUUAGUCCACGCCCUAAACGAUGUCAUACUAGUUGUCGGGUCUUUAUUAGACUUGUAAAGGCACCUAUACGCGUGAAAUUGACCCGCCCUCGGGGAAGUAACGCACGCAAGAUACUAAACUCUAAGAUGAUUUGACGAGGGGAGCCCGCGACAACACGGUGGAGUGAAUGUGCAUUAAUAUCUGAAUGACAACCAGCGA